Molecule: ribosomal RNA, 1246 nt
Filed under: Lophyraspis sp. NYSM 95-05-12-96
Lineage: Eukaryota; Metazoa; Arthropoda; Insecta; Hemiptera; Aetalionidae
Description: SSU rRNA
Rfam family: Eukaryotic small subunit ribosomal RNA
Source: RNAcentral
CGGUUAAAAGCUCGUAGUUGGAUCUGUGUCUAACGGCGUCGGUUCAUCGCUCGCGAUGUAACUGGCGCGCCAGUUGGACGUCCUGCCGGUGGCGGACCGGGCUGGCGGAUGUGUGUAGGUCUUCCGAAGCACUCUGUCGGUUCCGACCGCCGAUCCAAUCCCGCCGCGGUGCUCUUCACUGAGUGUCGAGGUGGGCCGGCACGUUUACUUUGAACAAAUUAGAGUGCUUAAAGCAGGCUGAUUUCUGCCUGAAUACUGUGUGCAUGGAAUAAUGGAAUAGGACUUCGGUUCUAUUUUGUUGGUUUUAAGAACCCGAAGUAAUGAUUAAUAGGGACAGGCGGGGGCAUUCGUAUUGCGACGUUAGAGGUGAAAUUCUUGGAUCGUCGCAAGACGUACCUAAGCGAAAGCAUUUGCCAAGUAUGUCCUCGUUAAUCAAGAACGAAAGUUAGAGGUUCGAAGGCGAUCAGAUACCGCCCUAGUUCUAACCAUAAACGAUGCCAGCCAGCGAUCCGCCAAUGUUCCUCCGAUGACUUGGCGGGCAGCUUCCGGGAAACCAAAGCUUUUGGGUUCCGGGGGAAGUAUGGUUGCAAAGCUGAAACUUAAAGGAAUUGACGGAAGGGCACCACCAGGAGUGGAGCCUGCGGCUUAAUUUGACUCAACACGGGAAACCUCACCAGGCCCGGACACUGGAAGGAUUGACAGAUUGAUAGCUCUUUCUUGAUUCAGUGGGUGGUGGUGCAUGGCCGUUCUUAGUUGGUGGAGCGAUUUGUCUGGUUAAUUCCGAUAACGAACGAGACUCUAGCCUACUAACUAGGCGUUUCUGGUAUCCACAAUAGUGCUACCAGCGAACAAAUUUCUUCUUAGAGGGACAGGCGGCUUCUAGCCGCACGAGACUGAGCAAUAACAGGUCUGUGAUGCCCUUAGAUGUCCUGGGCCGCACGCGCGCUACACUGAAGGAAUCAGCGUGUCCUCCCUGGCCGAAAGGCCCGGGUAACCCGUUGAACCUCCUUCGUGCUAGGGAUUGGGGCUUGCAAUUGUUCCCCAUGAACGAGGAAUUCCCAGUAAGCGCGAGUCAUAAGCUCGCGUUGAUUACGUCCCUGCCCUUUGUACACACCGCCCGUCGCUACUACCGAUUGAAUGAUUUAGUGAGGUCUUCGGACCGGUGCGCGUUAAGCGCCUGGUGUGAUUUUCGCUGUGCUGGGAAGAUGACCAAACUUGAUCAUUUAGAGGAAGUAAAAGUCGUAAC